GCGGGCAUCGUAUAGUGGCAGUACGUAACCUUCCCAAGGUUAAAGUGUGAGUUCGAUUCUCAUUGCCCGCUCCA
Molecule: transfer RNA, 74 nt
Filed under: Candidatus Staskawiczbacteria bacterium RIFCSPHIGHO2_01_FULL_39_25
Lineage: Bacteria; Candidatus Staskawicziibacteriota
Also listed under: 2 other names
Description: tRNA-Gly
Rfam family: tRNA
About the family: Transfer RNA (tRNA) molecules are approximately 80 nucleotides in length. Their secondary structure includes four short double-helical elements and three loops (D, anti-codon, and T loops). Further hydrogen bonds mediate the characteristic L-shaped molecular structure. tRNAs have two regions of fundamental functional importance: the anti-codon, which is responsible for specific mRNA codon recognition, and the 3' end, to which the tRNAs corresponding amino acid is attached (by aminoacyl-tRNA synthetases). tRNAs cope with the degeneracy of the genetic code in two manners: having more than one tRNA (with a specific anti-codon) for a particular amino acid; and 'wobble' base-pairing, i.e. permitting non-standard base-pairing at the 3rd anti-codon position.
Source: RNAcentral